This 253-nucleotide long non-coding RNA is filed under the name Homo sapiens (human). RNAcentral describes it as "HSALNT0340887". The record is from RNAcentral. Lineage: Eukaryota; Metazoa; Chordata; Mammalia; Primates; Hominidae.
AGACAUUCUGAUUUAAUUGGCAUGGGGCAAGACCUGGACUUGGGAUUUUUUUUAAUGCUCUUCAUGUGAUCUGUUGGGCAGCCAGAUUUGGGGAUCACUAGACGGAAGAAGGAUUGUUAAAGUCUCCGGAGAUGUUACUUGCCAAUGCUAAGAGCUCUUUGAGGACAUCUGGAAUUGUUACAAUAUUGCCAAAUAUAGGAAAGAGGGAAAAGGUAGAGUGUGAUUCCAAUAAUAAAGGAUUCCGCUUUUCAUU